UGGGGAAUAUUGGACAAUGGGCGAAAGCCUGAUCCAGCCAUGCCGCGUGUGUGAAGAAGGUCUUCGGAUUGUAAAGCACUUUAAGUUGGGAGGAAGGGCAGUAAGCGAAUACCUUGCUGUUUUGACGUUACCGACAGAAUAAGCACCGGCUAACUCUGUGCCAGCAGCCGCGGUAAUACAGAGGGUGCAAGCGUUAAUCGGAAUUACUGGGCGUAAAGCGCGCGUAGGUGGUUCGUUAAGUUGAAUGUGAAAGCCCCGGGCUCAACCUGGGAACUGCAUCCAAAACUGGCGAGCUAGAGUAGGGCAGAGGGUGGGGGAAAUUCCUGUGUAGCGGUGAAAUGCGUAGAUAUAGGAAGGAACACCAGUGGCGAAGGGGACCACCUGGGCUCAUACUGACACUGAGGUGCGAAAGCGUGGGGAGCAAACAGG
This 429-nucleotide ribosomal RNA is filed under the name Pseudomonadota bacterium. RNAcentral describes it as "Proteobacteria bacterium partial 16S ribosomal RNA". It matches the Rfam family "Bacterial small subunit ribosomal RNA", at positions 355 to 776 of the family's 1533-position model. Lineage: Bacteria; Pseudomonadati; Pseudomonadota. The record is from RNAcentral.